UACAUAGGGGGCAAGCGUUGUUCGGAAUUACUGGGCGUAAAGGGCGCGUAGGCGGCCUUCUAAGUCGAACGUGAAAUCCCCGGGCUCAACCCGGGAACUGCGUCCGAUACUGGAAGGCUUGAAUCCGGGAGAGGGAUGCGGAAUUCCAGGUGUAGCGGUGAAAUGCGUAGAUAUCAGGAGGAACACCGGUGGCGAAGGCGGGUCUCUGGGCAGAUACUGACGCUGAGAAGCGAAAGCAUGGGGAGCGAACAGG
Molecule: ribosomal RNA, 253 nt
Filed under: uncultured bacterium
Lineage: Bacteria
Description: partial 16S ribosomal RNA
Rfam family: Bacterial small subunit ribosomal RNA
Source: RNAcentral